CGAUUCCUCACUUCAGUAUCGCUCGGUCUCUCGUCGGAGCGUGUUGCAGUAAUAUUUGUAUCCGUGCGGAUCAACGUUGAACGCGGUGAUUUCCGUAUCAGAUUGAAAAUCACGUAUUGCGAAUUUUGUGUUGUGCUGAUUGCGCCAUCACUGAAAAUCCUCCCGCAUUAAAGUAUUAUCAAUAUUUCUCACGGAUUCGCUCAUUCGUAUCAGUUAUUGGCGAACAGCGCGCGUGAAUCCUUCAUUGGAAACGCAGGACAUUCGAUGCACAUACGUGUCAACGUGUGAUUCCUUUCUGCUGCCUUGUGUCGGUGUAUCGGAGUUGGCGCCAACUUUACAGUGAAGCGGAUCGUGCACGGUAGUGGCUUUCAGGGGCGCCGAUCAACAAGUAGUUCAUACGUGUCGCGUUUGCGGACACAACGUCGUUCACACGAUUCUCUCGCGUCAAAGUGCGUUUAUGAAUACGCGAGCUACUGAACGGCAACUACAUUUCGCUACAAUCAGCCUCCUCCUCAUCUUGCCCUCGAACAAUUCAGCGGAAACGACAUUUUCCCAUCGAUUCGCAAUAAUUCGCCGCUGCUUAUUGUGCAAAUAAGUACCUUAGGUUAAUUUAAACGUUUUUUUGGCGGAGAAGAGACACUUUCUACGUUUUGCAGUGAGCAAAUGUGGUGCCACAAAAAUUAAUUGUGAAAAUAGAGGGAAUAUCAAGGGGACACGGACGCAUUUCACGCGUCAUACUUUCCGCAGCGCUGGAAAUUGGCUGUGAAGUGAACAAUUAUCACGGUGUGAUAAGCAGCAAUCUUUGCUUCAUUUCGCAGUGGGCUAUCGCGGAACAUUCCGUUGUGCGCUGAACGAUGCCGCAUACAAUCGAGCGACGACGUAACCGAAUGGAAACGCUCGAAGAACCCUGAAUCGCAUUAUCGGCGUGUCGGCGGUCAUCAUCGAUCGUUCCAUGCCCAGGGAUCCAUCGACCUCGAACGGAAACGCGUUCCGUGGUUACCGCGUCCGGUUGCCGUGAUCGGUUCCCGAUAGCGAGGCGAUCGAUUUCGCGCCGGCUGAUUCGCGCGUAUGUGAGAGUGAAAUCGAGAGACCGAAUGCAAACAGUUCGCGAAGAUGUGACCCGUCGUUCCUCCUGCGGUGCGACGAACCGAAUGACUCGUCGAUGUGGCGAGGCGUCGGCGUGUCCACGAAAUCGCCAUAAUCGCAGGGGUGGAGGUGGACAGAGGUGCGGCGGACGCCGCCUGUACCGGCAGCAGGCUCUAUAAGGUGGCGGUGACGUCAAUGCACAUUUGCGCGCGAAUCUUCGCGUGGGCAUGGACCUUUUCCUCGGUAGCGCAGCGUACCCGAUGCAGCAGUCUGUGGGAAUAGAAGUGCGGGUGACGAAUGAGAUCCCCGUCCUCUCGACGGAAACAAACGUCGUCCGAGAUGCAGCACAACCUUGGACUACUACAUCGGCUCCAAGUCAAACCACCCCGCCAACCCCUACAAAUCCACAGUUACACUACUUGUCGCCACACGUUCUUCAUGGGCGGAACUCGCUUUGUUCCGCAAAUGAUUACACACGGAGAAGGCGACCUAUGACACUCCGCAUUGGUCCUCGCCUGAGUCUUCCUAGCAGGAGCACAUCCGCGCCAACCACAACCACAGACGGGGAAUGGCGUGCACUUAGCGAGAGCGGACCGCAUCCUGGAAUACCGGGAUACGGUAAUGUGCCCGGUGGUCAUCUCUGGGGGAAAAGAAAUCAGGGACGCACCUCGGCGCCGGUGGUCGGUCACGCGAGACCACCCGCUAUAAUUCUCAGGACGAGAAGGAGCUGGCCUGUCGCGCCUACACAUUGCCGAAGGUAAGUCUCAAAUGUGUCAUGUCAUGAUAGUCUGACGAUGCGAUUCAAUGAUUUCGACGAUACGAGGUAAGAUCAUUAAAUAUUGAAUAUACUUGCGUUCAAUAUUUGAUAUCUGUACAUGAAAUAGUCCAACUGCAUUUUUUCUAUAAUUAUUUUAUGAAAUCAAUAUAUCAGAAUUAUCGAUUAUUGUAAUUUCCUGAUGAAAUUAACUUUUAAUAGUUAAUUAACUGAAAAUUAAUUAAUGGUCUACGUCUGUGUCUUCUUAUUCUUGACUAGAAAAAGACCGAAGAAAAAAGAAGGAAUAAAUGUUUCUCACGAAUAAUUCAGCAAAGCGGGAUAAACCUACAGGCUUUACUUCGAAAAACUUUCUCAGAAAAACUUCACGUGGCGUUUUAGACGUUUUGAUAGAUAUUCUCAAUAUCGAAGUAAGACAAGAAACCAUGUUGUAUCAGAAGCUUCUUUCGUCGAUACUCUUCUUAUUUCCGAUAUCGCAAAAGUUUCUUCCAUCGGAAAUUUUGUACGUGUCUCAAAUGAAAUUAUAUAGCACUUGCAACAGUAUAGGGUCAGGAUCAGUGUGCAAUACAGGAUUUACUUUGUAUAAGUUACUGGUGCAUUUAGAUAAUUUGUAUCUUUCACUUGUUAUACGUGAGGAUCUUGAUAACUUAUGUGACAGAGAUGCAUUUGUCAAUCUAUCAAUCAUGUACCUUUAAACAAACGUUAUUUCGUUUGUGAAAUUUCUUGUACCUAAUUUCACUAAAAGUUAUAAGACGAUUGUGCGAGUUUCUCUUCGUCUUCGGUUCGUUUAAUGAACUUCGUUGAUUGCUUCUCCGUUGUACUAUCCUUGCACAAAAACAUUGCGAGCGGGAUAAUCUCUUAAAAUAAGUUCAUUAGUGCUUAAUGAAUGAAGUAGAUAUGGUCACUUGAAUAAUAUAUAACGUUUUACGACGUCAUACGACGUUUAAAAUAUUUCUUUGUUAUAUUGAUAAUCGCUAACCUGCGUUAGCUACGGAGGGUUAGAACGUUAGUGAGAAAUCGUACUUUCCAGGCAAAAGGUUAUUGAUUGGCUGCCUGUUGCUUUUAGUCCUACCGCACAGCUGCGGUUAUACACCCUUGUUCUUCUCUCCUCUGUCUUCUGUCUUUCGACCUUACUCCCCCUCGACCAGCUAAUGGAUAUCCUGUCUCCGCGUUCGCAUUUAGACGUCUUGUGUUCCUGACUUGUCCGCUAUAUAUUUCUUUUCCGUUUUUCCCGGCUCCUUCUUUCUUUUUGUUUCUGUUGGUCUUUCUCUCGUUUUUCCUACUUUUACAAAAUAAACAUUUGCGAAAACAAUAUACUGUUAUUGCAUAUUUCUCUAAAAUAGCAAUAUUCAAAACUGUUUUACACUGUCUUUUAUCAUCUGUUGUUUUACUUUAAUUUUUCAUUUUAUUAAAGUGGAUUCAUCUGAAGUUUCUUGAAUGAAAAAAUAGAGGUCUUCUCAAGAAAUUAUCAUUAUCAUCUAUUUAUUCUCUCAAUUUACUUUUGAAUGGUCUAAUUUAUCUUGCGAUCCAAAUUUGUUUUAUAUAAUAAGACAAGCUUUUAUCUCCGUGAAUAUCACUUACGCGUACCGUGUUAGGCUCAAAUGAGAAUAAAUCGUCAAGCAAAGUUAAAUUUCUUUAUCAUUAUUUAACUGUAAUUUUCCACCUAUCCAUGCGAAACCUUCUCGAUUAUUUAUGUGCUUCCAUGGAAAGAGGCGAGAUUUGAGGACGUAAGAUCGAUUCCUCGACCUAAUGGAUUACGGUAUUUCUAGCUCAUAUAUAUAUAUAUAGAUGAAACGAAAGUUAAACGCAGUAUCAAGAAAAAAACCUCUGAAUUUUUAUACGUGAUAAAACAUUCUGUCCCACUCGCUCGAUCAUCGCACUUGAUAUCUGAUAUCUGAUAUUUCGUAGAUAUCGAUGGGCAUGCUUUUUGAGAACGUUCUUCGAUAUCGUAGGAACCCUACUUUGAUUACGCGUCAGCGUCGCAUGGGAUUCCUAAAUGAACAUCGGGGUAAUUGACAGCGUAAUAACAGCAAUGGUACUCUCGGCAGUGGUUACGCGGUAAAUCUCCGCGGUGAGUUUAUCGACACUUUUAUAAUGGAGCAGCGGCCUGUUUGGCGCGAAAUCAAUUCCACGAGUACAUACGCCGCCGCGUAGUUUCCCUUCGGGAUAAGUGAAUCGGAAGCACUAUCCAUCUAGAUUGACAGACAGGUGCGAUAGACGACGACAACAACACUCGCUCUAUAUACAGAUUUAACUCACUGUGUAGUUUAGAUUAGUCGUUUAUUGUGCGUUCCUAGCGAAUUUUUGGCCCGACCUCGUCCGGAUUUUCGAUCGCGUCGCUGCUUAUUGACCAGUUGAAUCUAGUAGUUGUCAAAGACUUGACAGAGCAAGUACUUCUUCAAUAAGGUUCGGGCACUAUUCACGCUAUUCGCCGGAGCAGCUUGAUGUACCGGAUGUCUGCGAGAUAAA
RNA transcript from Ooceraea biroi (clonal raider ant), 4327 nucleotides. RefSeq lists it as uncharacterized. The record is from RefSeq and is a predicted model, not a curated record. NCBI's taxonomy places the organism in Eukaryota, Metazoa, Arthropoda, Insecta, Hymenoptera, Formicidae.